This 732-nucleotide ribosomal RNA is filed under the name Triticum aestivum (bread wheat). RNAcentral's name for it is "partial small subunit ribosomal RNA". Lineage: Eukaryota; Viridiplantae; Streptophyta; Magnoliopsida; Poales; Poaceae. The record is from RNAcentral.
AUGAUGAAGGGCGCCGCUCGGCUAUGGAGACUGGUUCUUGAGGUGCAUCUUGUGGACUCCAAGGGCCUCUUCGGCAGCGAUUUCCUAGGGAAGAUAGACCCGUAUGUGAUCGUGCAGUACCGGAGCAGGAGCGCAAGAGCAGCACCUCCCGAGGUCGGUGCCUCCGCAGCUUCUGGUUUUGUUUUCCUCUUCAUGGUUUUCGCUGCUGCAAAUGAUGAUGAUACUCCUGAUGAGGGGAGGAACCCGAGCUGGAACGAGGUGUUCCGGUUCCAGAUCAACUCCUCCGCCGCCAACGGGCAGCACAAGCUCUUCCUCCGGAUCAUGGACCACGACAACUUCUCCAGCGACGACUUCCUCGGCCAGGCAACCAGAACCCGGCCACCGGCCACCACCCGGAAGCUGGUGUCAUGGUCGAGCUGGGCGGAGUGGCGCUUCGUCUGCGACGCCAUCUUCUCCCCAUACCCCGACCCUGGCGCUGCUCUUCGCAGGACCGCGGCGUGGCGGAGUAGGGGCUGCCUCCCGAUACCCGUGGAGGUCAUUGCGGCCCUCUUCGAGAUAAGGCUGCGGGAUCCCUUCUUCCGGACCGGAGUGGCUUCAGAUGAUAAGCUGGAGUCAGACGAGAUGCUCGCCUUGCUGUACAGUAUGGCAAUCAUCAGUGUAUCUCUUCUAGAUGGAAAGGUGUGCGGAAGGGAUUUGUACCACCGGGUAGCAAUUGAACAGGAAGAGGCUUAG